AUUUUGCGUAGAAGAAGAAGAAGGAGAAGAUCCGCCAUUGUUAGCUCUGUUAUGAGAUUUACAGUUUUUCAACAUUUGUGGAGCAGAGGUGCACCAUGGCUUGCCACAAUGUCACAAUGGGUUCUUGGAGAGCCGCUGCUGUUGACUUGCUGCAUGUCUCCUCUCUGCGGCAAAACUCACAAAUACUCCACUCACCAAGUUCCAGAGGGAGAGGAUCACCAGCCACCACCGGCCGUACUAAAGGAAGUGGCUCUAUGUAGGGAUGGAACAUAGCAACUACACCAGCUGGGACACACCUAGCCAACUGGACACUGGGUACGGUGGCUUGGGGAGAGGGACCAUGUGGCCUGAGGGGAGGGGUGGUGGCCGGUGGGCAGUGUGUUACUGACCAGUGUGGUGUAAUGGUGUUGUCAUUGUCACCCUUGAGGAAUUCUGAGGGUGAGCUGGCUCUAUUAGAUGAAUUACAGGA
Long non-coding RNA from Portunus trituberculatus (swimming crab), 469 nucleotides. RefSeq lists it as uncharacterized. The transcript has 4 exons. NCBI's taxonomy places the organism in Eukaryota, Metazoa, Arthropoda, Malacostraca, Decapoda, Portunidae. The record is from RefSeq and is a predicted model, not a curated record.